This 254-nucleotide ribosomal RNA is filed under the name uncultured bacterium. Its description in RNAcentral is "partial 16S ribosomal RNA". It matches the Rfam family "Bacterial small subunit ribosomal RNA", at positions 524 to 776 of the family's 1533-position model. The record is from RNAcentral.
UACGUAGGGGCCUAGCGUUGUCCGGAUUUAUUGGGCGUAAAGAGCUCGUAGGCGGUUCGGCAAGUCGGAUGUGAAAUCUCCACGCUUAACGUGGAGGGGCCAUUCGAAACUGCCGUGACUCGAGUCCGGUAGGGGAGUGUGGAAUUCCCGGUGUAGCGGUGAAAUGCGCAGAUAUCAGGAGGAACACCGGUGGCGAAGGCGGAUCUCUGGGCCAUUACUGACGCUGAGGAGCGAAAGCGUGGGGAGCGAACAGG